Molecule: long non-coding RNA, 220 nt
Filed under: Capsicum annuum
Lineage: Eukaryota; Viridiplantae; Streptophyta; Magnoliopsida; Solanales; Solanaceae
Description: long non-coding RNA (CANN_LNC014956)
Source: RNAcentral
UGGUUAAUGUGAAAGAAUUUGGAUUUGAGAUUGUGUAUUGAUGUGUUUUUGUGAUCAUGUACUUGUAUUUAGUCCAUUGUUGGAUUUGCUCAAGUUAAUUCAAGUUAAUUUUUCAUUUGAUAAAGAAAAAAAACUCAUUGAAAAACUUGCAACAAUAGAGAAAGGAAGAGAAAAAGGGGUGCGGCUAUCUGAAGAAAAAGAAGAGGAGGAACGAGGGGGG